AAAGAAAGAGGGAGGGAGGAAGAAAAAAGGUAAGUAGAACGAGAAAUUAGGGUCUAGUGGAGCAAGGGUGAGUAACGAGUGGGAACCUGCCUUUAGGUUAGGAAUAACUCCCCGAAAGGGGUGCUAAUACCGGAUAAUGUCUUCGGACCAAAGAUUUAUCGCCUUUGGAUGGGCCCGCGUUGGAUUAGCUAGUUGGUAGGGUAAAAGCCUACCAAGGCGACGAUCCAUAGCUGGUCUGAGAGGAUGAUCAGCCACACUGGGACUGAGACACGGCCCAGACUCCUACGGGAGGCAGCAGUGGGGAAUAUUGGACAAUGGGCGAAAGCCUGAUCCAGCAAUGCCGCGUGAGUGAUGAAGGCCUUAGGGUUGUAAAGCUCUUUUACCCGGGAUGAUAAUGACAGUACCGGGAGAAUAAGCGCCGGCUAACUCCGUC
RNAcentral lists this ribosomal RNA (433 nucleotides) under uncultured bacterium. RNAcentral's name for it is "partial 16S ribosomal RNA". It matches the Rfam family "Bacterial small subunit ribosomal RNA", at positions 38 to 507 of the family's 1533-position model. The record is from RNAcentral.